Long non-coding RNA from Rattus norvegicus (Norway rat), 3310 nucleotides. RefSeq lists it as uncharacterized. Lineage: Eukaryota; Metazoa; Chordata; Mammalia; Rodentia; Muridae. The record is from RefSeq and is a predicted model, not a curated record.
CUUUUCCUGUUUGCUGCUGUCUAUUGCCAGCAAAGCUACUUGGAAAAGACCAACGAGUUGUAUGGGAAAGUAUCAGCAAGACCUCCACAGACGCUGCAGAUCGCAGCAGCAAACAGAAGCAGAUUCUCCUCUCCCGGCCCCUUCAGAGUCCAGGUUUAUCUCCAAGACCAAGGUCAAACACAGUGGACACAGUGGACACAGUGGACAUGCAGAGGUGCGCGGACCCGUGCUUGCACCUUACCUGCACUUCAUCAAAGAGUGUCCUCACUUGUUGCAGUGGUACUGGGAUGCUUCCAAGACCACUCAGGGGCAGAUGAGACACCUCAACCAACCAUUUACGGAGCUUCUCUGCCAUUUCUCUAUAGCGUUGCCAUUGGCGAAUCUGGCUGUCGAUGAUACCUCUUCUCUGUUGGGCCCUGCGAAUCACUCCUUGCCAUUGGUUACUGAGGAGUGUCAACUUCAGGCUGAACUCCUCCCUGGAGAAGAAAUAAUUAGAUGGGGGAGGGGACACAUAACCCAUAGUCUUGGGUAGAGUCACAGGAUCAGCCAGUAUACAUUUUCCAUAAAUGGUAUGCCCUGAGAAAAAGGAUCUAUGACAAACGACUUCAAAUUAGCUGUGGUCUGUUUGCUGGGUUGAAAGUAAUCAAGUUAGACUGCCAGUCUGCAAGUGGUGAGUGUUUUCGUAUCUCAGAACAGAUAAAAAAGCAAAUCUAUGGCAAUUAUCAUGUACUCUUUCCUUAAGUAUGUAUGUGUGUGGCAGUGACAGUCUCUUGUGCCUUACAAAGCAUAUGACAAGGAACCUGCCCACAAACUCCCUCCCCAGCUAGAAUCAUAUGCCAUUUUGGAAAAUCAAAAUCAACCCACUUAAAUUACACUACAUUAAAAUUUUUGUUUUUUCUUUAAAAAAUGUACUUCAUAAACAUUCUUAAUAUUCUUCUACAAGUGAUAACUCCAAUCUCAAGCAAAUUAUUAUGAGAAAUUGUCAUUGUCCUUUUCACAUUUUAGGUAAAUUUUUCGUUUUUCUUUCUUUUUUUUUUUUAAGAAAAAUUAACUUUAGUCAACACAAUAUGUAUGAAGGCUGUUUAGACACUGAGAAAGUAAAUUUUUUUUUUUGGUUCUUUUUUUCGGAGCUGGGGACCGAACCCAGGGCCUUGCGCUUCCUAGGCAAGCGCUCUACCACUGAGCUAAAUCCCCAGCCCCGAGAGAGUAAAUUUAACUUGAACCUUCUCCAAUUCUAGCUGAGGUACUACAGAUGUUUGAACACAUUCUUCCUUUUUUCCAUCCUAAAAAAUAUUGUCAUUGUUUAUGAAGUUUUAUUUACUAUGCAAACUGUAGCACAGACGUGACUUUCAAUAAGCAUCAAAUGGGAUGAGUUUCCUGGUAGAUUUUAGGGUCAAUCACAAAUGUAACAUCUCCUUAUCCUUCUUCUAACACCUGUACCAUGCUCUCUGGAAUUGAUUACCACUCUAGAGCUCUACACCAGAAGGCGACCUCUAUUACUAAUACAUCCCAUUGCUUGAGAUGGUUGUUUGAAUUUACAACCACAGGUGCCAUAUCUUCUAAAAAAUAUUGAAUAGCUGAACUGGAAAGAAAAGAUUAUUCUACAGUAAACGUCAACUAAUUACUAUAAAACAGUAAAAGUACUGGGUAAAAAACCACCCAAAGAAUCUCUUACGCUCCAUUUAAAAAUGAGUUCCUUAGGGCAACUGACAGAUUCUGACGAUCAUGUUUGCUUGUGAACUGAAAUUCUGCUCUGUGUCACACAGGCACGUACCAUAGUAGAGUCUGUCACAGUAGGAUCCAAGCACAGGCAGCUAGUCUCAUGACAUGUCCUUUAAAGGACAUGUCACCUCAGAAAAUGUGUGACCCCCCCAAAGUCCUGAAAAUAGCAGGUCCCGAGAAUAACCGAGACAUCAGUAUUAAAAUCAGGAUCCCUGUCUUUACUAUGUAAACAGUCCCGACCCACCUGCCCUUGACGAUCUACUGAAAAGGACUCUUCAGCUGAAGUUUUCAGAACAAAACCCUGUAUGCUGACUUUUAUAACUUAAGUCCUUGUUGUCUGGAACCUUCCCGGUACCCAUAGACUCGGAUCCAAUUUGUCUGUUUUUCACUAGCAACUCUCAAAAUUCUUUAUUUAGUUCCAACUUUCCCAUUUUCAUCUCUUUUGUGGUGUUUUUUUUUAAAUCUCCUAAAUGUUAGCAUUUAAAUUUUAAUAGAUGUUGGCUGGAAUGGGAAUUUCAAACUUUAUUUUACUUAAUGACUUGAAUGUUUAUAAUACUACUAAAGAGCUGGCUACAGGAUGAUAAAGCAAAAGAUAAAAGAGGUAAUUACACUCGAAUUUGGUUUAUUCAGAGAGUCUUAAAUUCCCAGUAAUGGUCACAUUUGAGGUUGGCUUGCUUAGAAUAGAGGAAGUACAGCAGCAGGCAUUAUUGUUCCAAUCCUAGCCGUACAAAUCUGUCAUGAACUUUGUAGGAAAUUACCACUGGAGGCUGAAAUUGCUUUUAGAAUACUAAUCAUAAAAAUGAUUUAUUUCCUAAUGAUUUAAAAACACACAGUUAAUUAUAAUCACAACUACUGGUCCCGGGUAUGAGAAAUGUAUACAUAGAUACUAAAGUCAAUUCCCCAAAUAUAAACAUGGAAACUAGACUAUGUGAGUGGCAUUCCUAGGAUAGUUGACGAGGCUGUCAAGUCACAUGUUGGGAGAGAAGCUAGAAUCUAUGUUUUAAAUAACGAGUUAGUUUGUUGGGAUGUGGAAAGAAGAUUUCACAUUUAACACAGUAUGGCUUAAGGUGGCAAACAAUCUUCCUACACAGAAGUAUGGCCUAGGGAAAUAAGGCCACAGAGCCCUCUUAACAUCAGACCUGGUCGUGCUCCCGUUUACUUAUGCGACCUUGCUCAAAACAGUUCCCAUGUGCGUCUGGAGUUUUCUACCUCUCAGAGUCAGACAAGUGAUACCUCUGCUCCUUUUAGGGAUAGAAUUUUAGUAAGAGCAGGGAGAUAUUAGUAGCAACUGUUCACUGACCAUCGCUGCAAUCCAUUCCGAUCUAUUCACUAACUCCAGCCCCUACUGACUAGCGAAGGUUGGCUAGGUGAUUUCCAAUUACCCUACGUCCUUCAUAUCAUAUAAUAGCAUCCUCUGCAAAGAUUCAAUGCUCACUCAUUUCAGAGACUCAGAUAAGCCUUUCCUCCAAUUACCGAGGCCCUGUGAUGAUACAAUUGCCUUAGGAAGAUUGGAUAUAUGCCCUCUAAUCUCUCAUUAAAAAGAAAAUGACUAAUUUACUGGAGAAACUUUCUUCAUAAUAAUUUAUCA